RNAcentral lists this ribosomal RNA (485 nucleotides) under uncultured soil bacterium. Its description in RNAcentral is "bacterial SSU rRNA". It matches the Rfam family "Bacterial small subunit ribosomal RNA", at positions 26 to 506 of the family's 1533-position model. The record is from RNAcentral.
AGAUUGAACGCUGGCGGCAUGCUUUACACAUGCAAGUCGAACGGUAACAGGCCGCAAGGUGCUGACGAGUGGCGAACGGGUGAGUAAUGUAUCGGAACGUGCCCAGUCGUGGGGGAUAACGCAGCGAAAGCUGCGCUAAUACCGCAUACGAUCUAUGGAUGAAAGCGGGGGACCGUAAGGCCUCGCGCGAUUGGAGCGGCCGAUAUCAGAUUAGGUAGUUGGUGGGGUAAAGGCUCGACCAAGCCAACGAUCUGUAGCUGGUCUGAGAGGACGACCAGCCACACUGGGACUGAGACACGGCCCAGACUCCUACGGGAGGCAGCAGUGGGGAAUUUUGGACAAGUGGGCGCAAGCCUGAUCCAGCAAUGCCGCGUGCAGGAAGAAGGCCUUCGGUUGUAACUGCUUUUGUACGGAACGAAACGGUCCUAGGUUAAUACCGUGGGCUAAGUGACGGUACCGUAAGAAUAAGCACCGGCUAACUACGU